UGGAGCACAGCGUUGAGGAUAGAAGAAAGUCAAAGCACUCCUACUGUUGCAGGAAUUACAGUUGGGGUUAUAUUCCUUUUGGUUGUAUUAGCCAUUUGCAUCUUCGUCAUAUAUAAGUGGUUUAAAAAGAAAAGUGAAGGUGGUGAA
This is a non-coding RNA of Labrus bergylta (ballan wrasse), 147 nucleotides long. Lineage: Eukaryota; Metazoa; Chordata; Actinopteri; Labriformes; Labridae. The record is from RefSeq and is a predicted model, not a curated record.